This 520-nucleotide ribosomal RNA is filed under the name uncultured Silanimonas sp. RNAcentral describes it as "bacterial SSU rRNA". It matches the Rfam family "Bacterial small subunit ribosomal RNA", at positions 521 to 1040 of the family's 1533-position model. Lineage: Bacteria; Pseudomonadati; Pseudomonadota; Gammaproteobacteria; Lysobacterales; Lysobacteraceae. The record is from RNAcentral.
UAAUACGAAGGGUGCAAGCGUUACUCGGAAUUACUGGGCGUAAAGCGUGCGUAGGCGGUUUGUUAAGUCUGACGUGAAAUCCCCGGGCUCAACCUGGGACGUGCGUUGGAAACUGGCGAUCUAGAGUACGGUAGAGGGUGGUGGAACUCCCGGUGUAGCAGUGAAAUGCGUAGAGAUCGGGAGGAACACUCGUGGCGAAGGCGGCCACCUGGACCAGUACUGACGCUGAGGCACGAAAGCGUGGGGAGCAAACAGGAUUAGAUACCCUGGUAGUCCACGCCCUAAACGAUGCGAACUGGAUGUUGGGCUCACUUCGGAGCUCAGUAUCGAAGCUAACGCGUUAAGUUCGCCGCCUGGGGAGUACGGUCGCAAGACUGAAACUCAAAGGAAUUGACGGGGGCCCGCACAAGCGGUGGAGUAUGUGGUUUAAUUCGAUGCAACGCGCAGAACCUUACCUGGCCUUGACAUCCACGGAACUUUCCAGAGAUGGAUUGGUGCCUUCGGAACCGUGAGACAGGUG